ACCUUGUGCGAUGUCUUUCUGAACUCCCUCAGCUGUCCGAGCUUCCAUAAUAUCAUCUGGACUUCUCCGAUAAAGAGCUCCCCCAUUCAUCUACCGGACUGCUCCAAAUGCUCUUCGGGCUUCGUUAUCAGCCGACUUUCUAUAGUGAUCGGCUACCCUUUGAAUCUCUUCCAGACUUCUUCCUGCCACGAAUGACUUUACUCCA
Molecule: long non-coding RNA, 205 nt
Filed under: Elaeis guineensis (African oil palm)
Lineage: Eukaryota; Viridiplantae; Streptophyta; Magnoliopsida; Arecales; Arecaceae
Description: long non-coding RNA (EGUI_LNC065866)
Source: RNAcentral